Molecule: long non-coding RNA, 336 nt
Filed under: Mytilus galloprovincialis (Mediterranean mussel)
Lineage: Eukaryota; Metazoa; Mollusca; Bivalvia; Mytilida; Mytilidae
Source: RNAcentral
AGAGCUUUGAAAUUAACUUUCAUGUACAAGCAAGGGCUUUAUCUUUGGUAAUAUUAUCGAAACUCCAAAAACCUAUGAAAUAGUCGUGCGUGUCCUUCAAAGUCUGGUAGAUACAUGUAGUUUGUGUACCUACUCCAAACAGAGACAAAGUUGUGUCGCAUCCGGUCGGUAAUGUACAGCAGUUAGUAGUUUACAAAUUGUUGGGGAAAACAGACACAUAGUUAGUGAAUGGGUGAAAAUCUUCGUCCAUCCUUUGCACUGCUAAUUCUCCCCAUCUGCACCCACAACUCGCUUGAAUGUGUCAUACAUUUAUAGUAGUGAACACGAACACACAGA